CCUACGGGAGGCAGCAGUGGGGAAUAUUGGUCAAUGGGGGGAACCCUGAUCCAGCGACGCCGCGUGAGUGAAGAAGUAUUUCGGUAUGUAAAGCCCUAUCAUCAGGGAAGAAAGAAAUGACGGUACCUGACUAAGAAGCCCCGGCUAACUUCGUGCCAGCAGCCGCGGUAAUACGGAGGGGGCAAGCGUUAUCCGGCAUUACUGGGUGUAAAGGGGGCGUAGACGGCGAAGCAAGUCUGAAGUGAAAGGCGGGGGCCCAACCUCCGGACUGCUUUGGAAACUGUAUUGCUGGAGUGCAGGAGAGGUAAGUGGAAUUCCUGGUGUAGCGGUGAAAUGCGUAGAGAUUAGGAGGAAUACUAGUGGCGAAGGCGGCUUACUGGACCGUAACUGACGUUGAGGCGCGAAAGCGUGGGGAGCAAACAGGAUUAGAUACCCUUGUAGUC
Molecule: ribosomal RNA, 443 nt
Filed under: uncultured bacterium
Lineage: Bacteria
Description: partial 16S ribosomal RNA
Rfam family: Bacterial small subunit ribosomal RNA
Source: RNAcentral